GGGUAGUUAGCUUAUAUGGUAAAAGCGCGUGGUUGAAGCCCAUGAGAUAGGAGAUCGUUACUUCUACUACCCACCA
Molecule: transfer RNA, 76 nt
Filed under: Acidobacteriota bacterium
Lineage: Bacteria; Pseudomonadati; Acidobacteriota
Description: Acidobacteria bacterium tRNA-Phe
Rfam family: tRNA
About the family: Transfer RNA (tRNA) molecules are approximately 80 nucleotides in length. Their secondary structure includes four short double-helical elements and three loops (D, anti-codon, and T loops). Further hydrogen bonds mediate the characteristic L-shaped molecular structure. tRNAs have two regions of fundamental functional importance: the anti-codon, which is responsible for specific mRNA codon recognition, and the 3' end, to which the tRNAs corresponding amino acid is attached (by aminoacyl-tRNA synthetases). tRNAs cope with the degeneracy of the genetic code in two manners: having more than one tRNA (with a specific anti-codon) for a particular amino acid; and 'wobble' base-pairing, i.e. permitting non-standard base-pairing at the 3rd anti-codon position.
Source: RNAcentral